UCCCUUGUAAAUUUUUCCACACUGGAGCAAAUUGUUACAGCGGUGACAACUGUAAGUUUUCUCAUGAUCCACUUACGGAUGAAACAGCCCCUCUGGUGGAUAAGUUUUACCAAGAUUUCUCCUCCAGAGAUGACGAAGCUUAUGGUGAUGGACAGAGAAUGGGUCCCCCUCGACCAAGUCUCCUAGGAUCACCGCCACGACACAUGACAGAACAGUCUGAACGGGUUAAAAAGAUUCCAUCAAUAUUUGACAUCAAAGUGUAUCCACCAGGCCAAAGUCCAAAGAAACCUCCGCUUAAUGAAGGCCCACCGAAUGUACAUCCACCUCCUCAAAUGUGUGGUCCUCC
This is a long non-coding RNA of Ylistrum balloti, 346 nucleotides long. RefSeq lists it as uncharacterized. The transcript is spliced from 3 exons. Lineage: Eukaryota; Metazoa; Mollusca; Bivalvia; Pectinida; Pectinidae. The record is from RefSeq and is a predicted model, not a curated record.